This 440-nucleotide ribosomal RNA is filed under the name uncultured bacterium. RNAcentral describes it as "partial 16S ribosomal RNA". It matches the Rfam family "Bacterial small subunit ribosomal RNA", at positions 338 to 795 of the family's 1533-position model. The record is from RNAcentral.
CCUACGGGAGACAGCAGUGGGGGAUAUUGCACAAUGGGGGGAACCCUGAUGCAGCGACGCCGCGUGGGUGAAGAAGCGCCUCGGCGCGUAAAGCCCUGUCAGCAGGGAAGAAAAUGACGGUACCUGAAGAAGAAGCCCCGGCUAACUACGUGCCAGCAGCCGCGGUCAUACGGAGGGGGCAAGCGUUCUCCGGAUUUACUGGGUGUAAAGGGGGCGCAGACGGCGAUGCAAGCCAGGAGUGAAAGCCCGGGGCCCAACCCCGGGACUGCUCUUGGAACUGCGUGGCUGGAGUGCAGGAGGGGCAGGAGGAAUGCCUGGUGUAGCGGUGAAAUGCGUAGAUAUCAGGAGGAACACCGGUGGCGAAGGCGGCCUGCUGGACUGCAACUGACGUUGAGGCCCGAAGGCCAGGGGAGCGAAAGGGAUUAGAUACGCCUGUAGUC